This 256-nucleotide ribosomal RNA is filed under the name uncultured bacterium. RNAcentral describes it as "partial 16S ribosomal RNA". It matches the Rfam family "Bacterial small subunit ribosomal RNA", at positions 524 to 776 of the family's 1533-position model. The record is from RNAcentral.
UACGUAGGGUGCAAGCGUUAAUCGGAAUUACUGGGCGUAAAGCGUGCGCAGGCGGUGAUGUAAGACAGAUGUGAAAUCCCCCGGGCUUAACCUGGGAACUGCAUUUGUGACUGCAUAGCUAGAGUACGGUAGAGGGGGAUGGAAUUCCUGGUGUAGCGGUGGAAUGCGCAGAUAUCAGGAAGAACACCCGUGGCGAAGGCGGCUCUCUGGAACGCAACUGACGCUGAGACGCGAAAAGCGUGGGGGAGCAAACAGG